AGAGGACCGGUUAGCUGCAUUUUGUGUGGCGAAGCUGAGAAUUUAAGCCCCAGUAAACGGCGGUGGUAACUAUAACCAUCCUAAGGUAGCGAAAUUCCUUGUCGGGUAAGUUCCGACCUGCACGAAUGGCGUAACGACUUCUCUGCUGUCUCGACCACAGACUCGGCGAAAUUGCAUUACGAGUAAAGAUGCUCGUUACGCGCGGCAGGACGAAAAGACCCCGGGACCUUCACUAUAGCUUGGUAUUGGUGUUCGGUUCGGUUUGUGUAGGAUAGGUGGGAGACUGUGAAGCGGGCACGCCAGUGUUUGUGGAGUCGUUGUUGAAAUACCACUCUGAUCGUAUUGGAUGUCUAACCUCGGGCCCUGAUCGGGUUCAGGGACAGUGCCUGGUGGGUAGUUUAACUGGGGCGGUUGCCUCCUAAAAUGUAACGGAGGCGCCCAAAGGUUCCCUCAGCCUGGUUGGCAAUCAGGUGUUGAGUGUAAGUGCACAAGGGAGCUUGACUGUGAGACUGACAGGUCGAGCAGGGACGAAAGUCGGGACUAGUGAUCCGGCACCGGCAUGUGGAAGCGGUGUCGCUCAACGGAUAAAAGGUACCCCGGGGAUAACAGGCUGAUCUUCCCCAAGAGUCCAUAUCGACGGGGAGGUUUG
RNAcentral lists this ribosomal RNA (649 nucleotides) under Staphylococcus aureus. RNAcentral describes it as "partial 23S ribosomal RNA". It matches the Rfam family "Bacterial large subunit ribosomal RNA", at positions 1880 to 2520 of the family's 2925-position model. The record is from RNAcentral. Lineage: Bacteria; Bacillati; Bacillota; Bacilli; Caryophanales; Staphylococcaceae.